Molecule: ribosomal RNA, 319 nt
Filed under: uncultured bacterium
Lineage: Bacteria
Description: bacterial SSU rRNA
Rfam family: Bacterial small subunit ribosomal RNA
Source: RNAcentral
CGCAAGGGGAGUGGCAGACGGGUGAGUAACACGUGGGAACCUUCCCAAUAGUACGGAAUAGCCCAGGGAAACUUGGAGUAAUACAGUAUACGCCCGAAAGGGGAAAGAAUUUCGCUAUAGGCUGGGCCCGCGUAGGAUUAGCUAGUUGGUGAGGUAAUGGCUCACCAAGGCGACGAUCCUUAGCUGGUUUGAGAGAACGACCAGCCACACUGGGACUGAGACACGGCCCAGACUCCUACGGGAGGCAGCAGUGGGGAAUAUUGGACAAUGGACGCAAGCCUGAUCCAGCCAUGCCGCGUGAGUGAUGAAGGCCUUAGGG